RNAcentral lists this long non-coding RNA (1196 nucleotides) under Sorghum bicolor (sorghum). RNAcentral describes it as "long non-coding RNA (SBIC_LNC014340)". Lineage: Eukaryota; Viridiplantae; Streptophyta; Magnoliopsida; Poales; Poaceae. The record is from RNAcentral.
UAGAGUAUGAGUUUCUUAUUCUUGAUAUCAUUGUUGCUUGGAGAAUUUAUUUCAAAAUGUUCAAAAUUCUAGCUACCAUCCUCAGUGUUUUAUAUGCCUGAUAAAACUAAAAUAUUAAUUAUGAUUAUAAAAGCUAUCUACUCUGUAUUGAGUUUGUUCAAAAUGAGUUAGACCCUUGUUGAGAGAUUUAUCAUGCUCCCAAGAUCAAGACACUAUUUCAGUAAGAUUCACUCUUCCGAAGUAUUAUUGCAUUAGAGGCAUGGGCUAUGCAAAAAUAAGAUAUUUCGAGGAAAUAAAAAGGAGCAAGUGCUCGACAACCUCGCAGAAAAAAAUGGACAAGUGUCCGGCAGUAGAAUUAGGGGUACCUCGGUAUCCACUUAAAAAAAAUGAUAGGCCAUGGUCCCUCUAAUAAGCAAUAUGCCAGCAAGAGUUGACAAAGUUCUUAAUUUCUAAAGCCUUUGAUCUAAGAGUAUGACAUUCCCCUCCUCGGAUCCCGUUUUGAUCAAGCAAUAAAUGCAAAGUAAGAAUGCUUGAGAAUUUUUGCAAAAUUAAAACAGCCUCAGUGAGAUAUAUAAAAGAUAAUGAGUGAUCUGAGAUAACCUAUGAGGAUAAAAAGGUAUGCUAACUUUCUUUCAAAAAAAUAUACAAAAAAAAAACUCCAAGUGACAGGAUUGAGAAGAAAGGAUCUUUACUCUUAAUCAUACACUUCCCUGACUAUGGUACACAGUGGAAUUUUUAACACCCUGCAAUUAUAAAGAGAAUGUUUUAAAUGUUUACCCCAGAUAUUUUUUAACCAUCCUUUUCUCGAGGACGAGUAAAAGCCUAAGUAUGGGGGUAUUUGUUGACGGUUCUUAAGUAUCAAUUUUAAUUAUCAAAUAAACAAGAGAAAGGACCAAUAUGCAACUCACACAUAGAAUUAGGGUUUGAUCUGACAGAAUUCCACGAGUUUUGUUGUUUAUCUGUUUCUGCAGGGGGUUAUCAGGAAAUAAGGAAGAAAGGCCCACAUGUCAGGAUUACAUAGAGAUAUCAACGCACCGCGCAAUUUUACAUCAUCUAGAAGACUCCAGAAGCCACGAGACCGAAGCGGAGGCCAAACUGGGCCAGGCCCAGGGCGCCCGCCCUGGAAGCCUGGGCGCCCGCCCCCCUGCUGGAGCCAAUUCAGGACUCCUUCGCUCGGGAUAUUCCACCGACCUAUU